CAUUAGCCCCGAUUGAAGAGGAAAUUAUUUUGCUUUUUUCUUUAAAAAAGCAAAAUGAUUGCAACGAAAAGCGGGAACUAUU
Molecule: non-coding RNA, 82 nt
Filed under: Flavobacterium johnsoniae
Lineage: Bacteria; Pseudomonadati; Bacteroidota; Flavobacteriia; Flavobacteriales; Flavobacteriaceae
Also listed under: 1 other name
Description: Flavo-1 RNA
Rfam family: Flavo-1 RNA
Source: RNAcentral